GAUGAAGAACGUAGCGAAAUGCGAUAAGUAAUGUGAAUUGCAGAAUUCAGUGAAUCAUCGAAUCUUUGAACGCACAUUGCGCCCGCCAGUAUUCUGGCGGGCAUGCCUGUUCGAGCGUCAUUUCAACUAUCAAGGCCCAGGCUUGUGUUGGAGCCCUGCGGCUGCCGCAGCCUCCCAAAACCAGUGGCGGGCUCGCUAUCACACCGAGUGCAGUAGUUUACUCUUCGCUCAGGGCGUGUGGCGGGUGCUAGCCGUAAAACCCCCAACUUCUCAAGGUUGACCUCGGAUCAGGUAGGAAUACCCGCUGAACUUAAGCAUAUCAAUAAGCGGAGGA
This 334-nucleotide unclassified non-coding RNA is filed under the name soil metagenome. Its description in RNAcentral is "partial contains 5.8S ribosomal RNA, internal transcribed spacer 2, and large subunit ribosomal RNA". The stretch from base 1 to 120 matches the Rfam family "5.8S ribosomal RNA", at positions 35 to 154 of the family's 154-position model. The record is from RNAcentral.